CUGUAUGGUGGAGAAGAUACUGUAACAAAAACCCAAGAUUACAGUGACUCACCCAGGAAAGCAGAUGGAGAGACGGUGCCGUUGCUCCUAGAGACCAUAACGCUGAUUCCAGUCUCCACAAAGGGAACUGAGAAUUCAACAACUUCUGACCUCUCUUCAUUGAUGGUCAGUGAGCCGAUAGCCAUGUCUGCUCUUUUGGACACCACCUGUGGCCUCCAAGAUCCCUGGAUGCAAGCUCAAUUUUUUUAUGCCAUGUGAAGGUCAUGGUGUAUCAGGAAAAAGAUAACACAUAAAGAUCAUUUAGAUACAGGUGUGUUAACACGAGGUCAUCAUGAUUGGGAGCGAUGACUUCUUGGUCAAACCGAUGGGCCAAUCAGGAAUGCUCCCUAACCCUUCACACUCUGGAAGAAGGUUUCUGGAGGAAACCUGGCUCAGAGGUAGGGGAAGGUAAGAGUUGGGAUACUGGGUGGAAGUAUCGUGCUGCCUAAGACGACGACUCUCCCCUACCUGCCGCACCGAGCCACGUUCGUGGGCCCUGCCUCGCUACCUCAUCCUCCAGCAGCUUCAGCCACAAGACUCCUGCACCUGCCCAAAAACUUCAGCAUUUCCAACACCUCAGCCUUGUCCGAGUGAUGUUCUGUUCUCCAUUUUCACUUUGAACUUCACUGUUCAAAGUUUCUUGGAUCCCUGAGUCGGAGACAAUCUCCAUGUUCCCCUCACUGUAGCGAGUGUCACACAUCCUUUACACAACUAUAAAGGUGUGAACUGCACUUGCAACAUCAUGUAUAACAUGAAAGUUAACCUAGAAAUUGAUAUAUAUUUAUUAAGCUAGCUAGAGAAAUAUUACACUUCUUAUGAUUUUGAUAUAAUCCAUAAAAUGAAAUUUUCCAUUUCUAGAGCAAGCGUGACGUUGCUGGAUUACAUGCACAUCAUGGAAGCAUCUGAUUUAGAUUCAAAAUGUGAUGUUUAGUGUAACAUCUAAGUCUAACCAUUUCAUUAGAAAUGAAGUUAUAUUCAAAUAAAUAAUGCAUUUUGUAAUUUUUUUUAUAUAUCUUUAUACAUUUCUUGAACAACAGAGACAGCAUGUCCGCUGGAAGUUUCUAUGUGAAAAGAGGCAUCAUUUUAUUUAAUUGUGUUAAAUGUGAAAUGCCCAAGUCUAUUCUCUAGUGUAAUGGUUGAUUUAUCAUUCUCUUCAUGUAAUGACACAACAUGUUUCAUCUUUAUAGAAUAAUGGGAUGCUUUUUCCUAAAUGUUCCUAAUUGACUCACUGUAAACUCUUACUAUUUCACAUGGGAGUUUGGAGCUGUCAUCUUUCUGUCUCAGGUUUACUGUGUAUUAAUUUGCUUUGACGUCAUGCCUCGGAAAAUAUACCUGAUUUGGAUAUCUGUCUGA
Molecule: long non-coding RNA, 1392 nt
Organism: Tachysurus fulvidraco (yellow catfish)
Lineage: Eukaryota; Metazoa; Chordata; Actinopteri; Siluriformes; Bagridae
Exons: 2
Source: RefSeq, a predicted model, not a curated record